Molecule: ribosomal RNA, 252 nt
Filed under: uncultured bacterium
Lineage: Bacteria
Description: partial 16S ribosomal RNA
Rfam family: Bacterial small subunit ribosomal RNA
Source: RNAcentral
UACGGAGGGUGCAAGCGUUAUCCGGAUUCACUGGGUUUAAAGGGUGCGUAGGUGGGCAGGUAAGUCAGUGGUGAAAUCUCCGGGCUUAACCCGGAACUGCCGUUGAUACUAUUUGUCUUGAAUAUUGUGGAGGUAAGCGGAAUAUGUCAUGUAGCGGUGAAAUGCUUAGAUAUGACAUAGAACACCAAUUGCGAAGGCAGCUUACUACACAACGAUUGACGCUGAGGCACGAAAGCGUGGGGAUCAAACAGG